UACGGGGGGGGCAAGCGUUGUUCGGAAUUACUGGGCGUAAAGGGCUCGUAGGCGGCCAACUAAGUCAGACGUGAAAUCCCUCGGCUUAACCGGGGAACUGCGUCUGAUACUGGAUGGCUUGAGUUUGGGAGAGGGAUGCGGAAUUCCAGGUGUAGCGGUGAAAUGCGUAGAUAUCUGGAGGAAUACCGGUGGCGAAGGCGGCAUCCUGGACCGGCAUUGACGCUGAACAGCGAAAGCUAGGGGAGCAAACGGG
Molecule: ribosomal RNA, 253 nt
Filed under: uncultured bacterium
Lineage: Bacteria
Description: partial 16S ribosomal RNA
Rfam family: Bacterial small subunit ribosomal RNA
Source: RNAcentral